RNAcentral lists this ribosomal RNA (253 nucleotides) under uncultured bacterium. Its description in RNAcentral is "partial 16S ribosomal RNA". It matches the Rfam family "Bacterial small subunit ribosomal RNA", at positions 524 to 775 of the family's 1533-position model. The record is from RNAcentral.
UACGUAGGGUGCAAGCGUUAAUCGGAAUUACUGGGCGUAAAGCGUGCGCAGGCGGUUGAUGUAAGACAGGUGUGAAAUCCCCGGGCUUAACCUGGGAACUGCAUUUGUGACUGCAUAGCUAGAGUACGGUAGAGGGGGAUGGAAUUCCGCGUGUAGCAGUGAAAUGCGUAGAUAUCGGAAGGAACACCAGUGGCGAAAGCGGCUUCCUGGUCCAGCACCGACGUUCAGGCACGAAAGCGUGGGGAGCAACAGG